CGUAGGGUGCAAGCGUUGUCCGGAAUUAUUGGGCGUAAAGAGCUCGUAGGCGGUCUGUCGCGUCGGCUGUGAAAACUUGGGGCUCAACUCCGAGCUUGCAGUCGAUACGGGCAGGCUAGAGUUCGGCAGGGGAGACUGGAAUUCCUGGUGUAGCGGUGAAAUGCGCAGAUAUCAGGAGGAACACCGGUGGCGAAGGCGGGUCUCUGGGCCGAUACUGACGCUGAGGAGCGAAAGCGUGGGGAGCGAACAGGAUUAGAUACCCUGGUAGUCCACGCCGUAAACGUUGGGCGCUAGGUGUGGGAUCCCUUCCACGGGUUCCGUGCCGCAGCUAACGCAUUAAGCGCCCCGCCUGGGGAGUACGGCCGCAAGGCUA
Molecule: ribosomal RNA, 373 nt
Filed under: uncultured organism
Description: bacterial SSU rRNA
Rfam family: Bacterial small subunit ribosomal RNA
Source: RNAcentral